AGUGAACGCUGGCGGUAGGCCUAACACAUGCAAGUCGAACGGCAGCACAGUAAGAGCUUGCUCUUACGGGUGGCGAGUGGCGGACGGGUGAGGAAUACAUCGGAAUCUACUUUUUCGUGGGGGAUAACGUAGGGAAACUUACGCUAAUACCGCAUACGACCUACGGGUGAAAGCAGGGGAUCUUCGGACCUUGCGCGAUUGAAUGAGCCGAUGUCGGAUUAGCUAGUUGGCGGGGUAAAGGCCCACCAAGGCGACGAUCCGUAGCUGGUCUGAGAGGAUGAUCAGCCACACUGGAACUGAGACACGGUCCAGAAGCCGAAGGGAGGCAGCAGUGGGGAAUAUUGGACAAGGGGCGCAAGCCUGAUCCAGCCAUACCGCGUGGGUGAAGAAGGCCUUCGGGUUGUAAAGCCCUUUUGUUGGGAAAGAAAAGCAGCAGGUUAAUACCCCGCUGUUCUGACGGUACCCAAAGAAUAAGCACCGGCUAACUUCGU
Molecule: ribosomal RNA, 491 nt
Filed under: uncultured bacterium
Lineage: Bacteria
Description: partial 16S ribosomal RNA
Rfam family: Bacterial small subunit ribosomal RNA
Source: RNAcentral